This is a non-coding RNA of Caenorhabditis elegans, 21 nucleotides long. NCBI's taxonomy places the organism in Eukaryota, Metazoa, Nematoda, Chromadorea, Rhabditida, Rhabditidae. The record is from Ensembl.
UACUAAUGUGUUGUAGGGUAA